UACGUAGGGGGCAAGCGUUGUCCGGAUUUAUUGGGCGUAAAGAGCCCGUAGGCGGUUUGUCGCGUCUGCCGUGAAAGUCCGGGGCUCAACUCCGGAUCUGCGGUGGGUACGGGCAGACUAGAGUGAUGUAGGGGAGACUGGAAUUCCUGGUGUAGCGGUGAAAUGCGCAGAUAUCAGGAGGAACACCGAUGGCGAAGGCAGGUCUCUGGGCAUUAACUGACGCUGAGGAGCGAAAGCAUGGGGAGCGAACAGG
RNAcentral lists this ribosomal RNA (253 nucleotides) under uncultured bacterium. Its description in RNAcentral is "partial 16S ribosomal RNA". It matches the Rfam family "Bacterial small subunit ribosomal RNA", at positions 524 to 776 of the family's 1533-position model. The record is from RNAcentral.